Molecule: long non-coding RNA, 907 nt
Filed under: Brassica rapa (field mustard)
Lineage: Eukaryota; Viridiplantae; Streptophyta; Magnoliopsida; Brassicales; Brassicaceae
Description: long non-coding RNA (BRAP_LNC003931)
Source: RNAcentral
UUUAUUGUAAUAAAAUAACCGUUUCAAACACUUUAUUAUUUAUUCUCAAGCUUAUGUAAUGAAAAAAUCCGAAAGAUGUAAACACUACAAGAAAAAAGGCUUUUGUUAGCGGACGAAAAAUGCUAUCUAAAGAUAUGAUAGCGGUUUAUGAAGCGCUGUAUCAUCGCCCGUCAUAAUAGGUCAAACACAUUAGAUAGCGGUUUUUGGUAUUGUUAUCUUAUAGUCAUAUACUAUAGCGUUCUUUUGCGUGCAAUUAAAUAUUUUUUAUUAGCGUUUUAUUUUUGCUAUUAUAUAUUAUUAAAAUUUUAAAAAAAAAAAUUAAAAAGAAGAAAAAUCACAAAAUACAGUUAAAAUAUAUAAUAUAUUAAAUUAUUUUUACAAAAUAAUUGAAUUUGGUUUACAUAUUAAAGUAGGUUUACAAAAUUAACCUAAUUAAAAACUAAACGUAAAAAAAAAAUACAGUUCACCGCUAAACCUAAAAACCCUAACUCCUCGCGCCUCCAUCUCCUUUGCCGCGGAGCUCCAACAGCCGCCUCCUUUACCGGAUCUGUCAACCACCAUCACGAACUCCUCCACCAUCGACGCUUCAAACCAAGCUGUCAGCUACGACAUCUGCUUUCCUCCUCCAUCCUCGACGCUUCAGCCACGCCGUCAGCCACGUCCUCCAUCGCCAUGCUCUCCGCCAGAUCAGGUCCUCAUCUGCCAUAUUCCUCCAUCCUCGACGCUUCAGCCAUGUCCUCCGUCGUCCUCCUCCAUAUUUUAUCUCUGUUAAUUGUCAGCAGCCUCUGCCUUCAUACAAACGAAUCAGAAUUGAUAUAGAAAAAGAACAAAAAGAUGGAAACUUGAGAGACAUUUGAGAGCGAAUAACAACUUACAACUGAGUUGAUUUGUUGUAGAGAGAAAUCAC